Long non-coding RNA from Macaca mulatta (Rhesus monkey), 1101 nucleotides. RefSeq lists it as uncharacterized. Lineage: Eukaryota; Metazoa; Chordata; Mammalia; Primates; Cercopithecidae. The record is from RefSeq and is a predicted model, not a curated record.
UUCUUGCACUCUAGGGAUCCUCCUGCCUUGGCCUCCCAAAGUGUUGGAAUUACAGGCGUCAGCCACCACACCCAACACAGCCUAUUAAUGUCAGUCUAUUUCUCUGUUUAACUACGAAUUUCCUGAAAUGUUACCAUUUUUAUAUUCAGAUUUAUAGAAAAGAAGCUUUUGUCUUUUAUGACCUUGACACUUUUGAAGGGUACUGUCAGCUGUUUCGUAGAAUGUCCCUUGCAUUGGGGACUCCGACCUUAUGACUGGACAAGGUUUUUGUUUUUUUGGUUUUUUUUUUUUGAGAUGGAGUCUCACUCUGUCUCCCAAUUUGGAGUGCAGUGGUGUGAUCUCAGCUCACUGCAACCUCUGCCUCCCAGGUUCAAGCGAUUCUCCUGCCUCCGCCUCCCAAGUAGCUGGGAUUACAGGCGCCCAACACCACGCCUGGCUAAUUUUUGUAUUUUUAGUAGAGACAAGGUUUCACCAUGCUGGCCAGGCUGAUCUUGAACUCCUGACCUUGUGAUCCAUCUGCCUUGGCCUCCCAAAGUGCUGGGAUUACAGGCCUGAGCCACCAUGCCCUGCUGGUUUAUUUUUUGGCAUGAAUACCACAGCUGGGAUGUCCUCUUCUCAAUGCAUAGUGGAGAUAUGCAAUGUCAGUCUGUCCAACUCUUGGUCGUAUUAGUUCAGGUGGCAGUUGCGGCUGCCGGGCCUUCUCCACUACAUAGUUACUGUUUUCCCUUUGUCAUCCAUAAAUACCUUGGGGAGAUACUUCCAGACUAAGUGAAUGUCUGUUUCUCUUCCAAGUUUUACCCACUAAUUUCUAAUUUUUUUUUUUUUUUUUGAGAUGGAGUCUCACUCUGUUACCCAGGCUGGAGUGCAGUGGCACAAUCUCAGCUCACUGCAACCUCCGCCUCCCAGCUUCAAGCAAUUCCCAUCUCAGCCUCCCAAGCAGCUGCGAUUACAGGCACACGCCACCAUGCCCAGCUUGUGUUGAAUAUAUCAACAUCCAAGAGUUGAUGAUGCUGCUUAAGGAAAGAAACCUCAUGUUUACCUUUGGAAGUUGUAAGGGCACUGACUUAUAAAAAUCGGGAAAUAAAAGGAAAGAAUCAGGCA